Molecule: RNA transcript, 9833 nt
Organism: Mus musculus (house mouse)
Lineage: Eukaryota; Metazoa; Chordata; Mammalia; Rodentia; Muridae
Gene name: RIKEN cDNA 5830417I10 gene
Exons: 18
Source: RefSeq, marked validated
GCAGCAAGAUGACCAGGAGGGUGAUGACUUGGACCUAGAGGCAGCUGUGAAGCCAGACACGGACCAGCUCCCAGACAGCGCGUCAGAGUCCCUGUCCUGGGGUCAGAGUCAGGACAGUGCAGUGUGCCCUGAAGGGCUCUCCAUGCAGGAUGGAGACGAUCAGCUCAGGGCAGAGGGGCUGUCUUUGAACUCGAAGAUGCUGGCCCAGCAUGUGAACUUAGCAGUCUUGGAAGCCGUUGAUGUAGCUGUCUCUCAGGAAAUCCCCCUUCCCUCCUUGGAGUCUUCUCAUUCCCUUCCUGUACAUGUGGAUAAAGGGAGACUCCAGGUCUCUGCCUCAAAGAAAGGGAAGAGAGUUGUCUUUACACCUGGGCAGGUUACCAGAGAAGACCGAGGGGAUCACCCUGUCCCAGAGGAGCCUCCUUCAGGAGAGCCUGCUGAAGAAGCCAAGACGGAAGGAGGAGAACUUGAGCUGCGUUCCGAUGGGGAGGUUCCUUUGCUGUCAUCCAGCAGUCAAUCUGCAAAACCAGGUGCCCAGCCUCGGAAGUCAGUCCAGCCAGAUGGUUCUGCCUUUCCUCAAGACAAGCCACUCGGACCUCUGGUUCGCCAAGCUGAGGAAGAGAUGGAGGAUGGUGGACUCUUUAUCCCAACCGAUGAGGCAGAUGAUGAUGAUGAUCCAGAGUAUAACUUCUUGGAAGAUCUUGAUGAACCAGACACCGAGGAUUUCCGUACUGACCGAGCAGUGAGAAUCACUAAAAAAGAAGUGAAUGGGCUGAUGGAAGAGCUGUUUGAGACUGUGCAAUCUGUAGUCCCCAGUAAGUUCCAAGAUGAAAUGGGAUUCUCAAAUAUGGAAGAUGAUGGCCCAGAGGAAGAGGAGCGUGCAACAGAGUCUCGGCCUAGCUUCAACACCCCUCAAGCCCUACGGUUUGAGGAGCCGUUGGCCAACUUACUAAAUGAGCGGCACCGGACAGUGAAGGAGCUGCUGGAGCAGCUGAAGAUGAAGAAACCCUCAGUCAGACAGCAGCCUGAGGUGGAGAAGCUGAAACCGCAGGAGGAGGCAGCCCAUCAGACUCUGGUCCUCGACCCAGCACAGAGGAGCAGGCUUCAGCAGCAGAUGCAGCAGCAUGUUCAGCUGUUGACACAAAUCUACCUUCUCACCACCUCCAACCCCAACCUCAGCUCCGAGGCCAGUACCACCAGAGUAUUUCUUAAAGAGCUGGGCACCUUUGCUGAGAAUUCCAUUGCCCUUCACCAGCAGUUCAACCCCAGGUUCCAGACCUUAUUCCAGCCUUGUAACUGGAUGGGAGCUAUGCGGCUCAUUGAAGACUUCACCCAAGUCAGCAUUGACUGCAGCCCUCAUAAAACCGCCAAGAAGACUGCCAGUGAAUUUCCCUGUUUGCCAAAGCAAGUGGCUUGGAUCCUGGCCACAAACAAGGUUUUCAUGUAUCCAGAGCUCCUCCCAAUAUGUUCCCUGAAGGCCAAUAAUCCUCGGGAUAAGACCAUCUUCACCAAGGCUGAGGACAAUCUGUUGGCUUUAGGACUGAAGCAUUUCGAAGGGACCGAUUUUCCUAAGCCUCUGAUCAGCAAGUACCUUGUAACUUGUAAGACUGCUCACCAGCUGACGGUGAGAAUCAAGAACCUCAACCUGAACAGAGCUCCUAACAACGUGAUUAAAUUUUAUAAGAAGACCAAACAGCUGCCAGUUCUGGUGAGGUGCUGUGAAGAGAUCCAGCCACAUCAGUGGAAGCCACCUUUUGAGAAGGAAGAACACCGGCUUCCAUUCUGGUUAAAGGCCAGUCUACAGUCCAUUCAGGAUGAACUGCGGAACAUAUCCGAAGGCGCUACAGAGGGAGGAAGUGUGACCACAGCCACUGAGAGCAGCACCGAUCAGCACUUACAGAAAGCCAGCCCUGCCCUGGGAGAUGAACCUCAGUACCCACUGCUGCUACCCAAGGGUGUGGUGCUCAAACUGAAGCCGGGUUCCAAGCGUUUCUCCAGAAAGGCUUGGCCACAGAAGCGGCCAUUGGUCCAGAAGCCCCUCCUUAUCCAACCCAGCUCCUCUGUUCAGCCUGUGUUCAACCCUGGGAAAAUGGCACCGUGGCCAACUCAGUCAGAAGUUCCUCCAAGCAACACAGUGGUCCAGAUUCCUCAUCUGAUCCAGCCAGCCGCUGUCUUACAGACACUUCCAGGGUUCCCUUCAGUGGGGGUUCGUGGAGAAGAUGGUUUUGAGUCUCCAACAUCACUGCCUGCUACGCCUUGUGGGUCUGAAGCCAGGACCAGCUUCCCCUUGUCUGAGACUCAGUCAGAACCUCCUUCUUGCUCUGCACCCAAGUUAAUGCUGCCCUCUCUGGCCCCUUCUGAAUUUCGAAAGCCAUAUGUGAGGUGGAAGCCCACAAGAAGAAAAGGAGCCAAGGCGUCCCCCUGUGUGAAGCCUGCUCCCGUCAUCCACCCGAAACCUGUCAUCUUCACAGUUCCUGCCACUACAGUAAAGGUUGUGAGCCUUGGUGGUGGCUGUAACAUGAUCCAGCCUGUUAGUGCAGCUGUGGCACCAAGUCCCCAGACCAUUCCUAUCACCACUUUCCUUGUUAACCCCACUACUUUCCCCUGUUCAUUAAACCAGCCCCUUGUGGCCUCCUCCAUCUCCCCCCUAAUUGUUUCCAGCAAUCCUCUGACUCUUCCUGUGACAUCUAUUCCUGAAGAUAAGGCCCAAGUGAAGUUGGAUGUUGCUGAAGGGAAAAAUGCUCCUCAGAACCCUGAGUCCAAAUUAAAACCCCAGGAGCUAACUCCUCUCUGUACCACUGUCUUCUCCAAAGAGGAGCCCAAGUCCUGGCAUUCUUCAGCAGAUACGGGAAGCCAGGAAGCAUUCUCUGAAUCCAGUGCCUGCAGCUGGGCUGUUGUCAAAACAGAAAGCCAGGAAGGCUCUUCUGAAAAGAGUGCCUGUGGCUGGACGGUUGUGAAAACAGAAGAUGGUGGGCAUGCUGUGGAGCCAUUGCCUCAGAAUCUCCAGGACUCUCUGAGCUCUUCAUCGAAGGAUUUAUUAAAUAUGGUCAAGAUGGAAGCUCAAGAUUGCAUGGUGGAAAUCUCCAGCAACCUUCCCAAGCAGGACAUUGGGGAGGAAGUGAAAGAGGAACGCUCUAUGGAAUUAGACAGUGAGUCCCCACAGGAGAAGCCGAGUAGUACCAGUGAGAUGAGCAAACAGACAGUCCUGCAGAGGGAAGACACGCAGGCCGCCAAAUCCCCUUCUGUGCCCCAAGACGCUGCUGCUGAGGGACGAACAAGUAGUCAUGCAAGCAGAGGACUGCCAAAAAGCACUCUGUCCUCCAUGGGCCAGGGCGGGGGGCUGAGCGGUCCUCCAGGGAAGCUUGAGGACUCGGCCAAUGCUGACGGCCAGUCUGUGGGAACCCCAGCAGGACCAGACACUGGAGGGGAGAAGGACGGGCCUGAGGAAGAGGAGGAGGAGGACUUUGAUGACCUCACCCAAGAUGAAGAAGAUGAACUGUCAUCAGUUUCUGAGGAGUCUGUGCUCUCUGUCCCAGAGCUCCAGUUUUAUAAGAAGACCAAACAGCUGCCAGUUCUGGUGAGGUGCUGUGAAGAGAUCCAGCCACAUCAGUGGAAGCCACCUUUUGAGAAGGAAGAACACCGGCUUCCAUUCUGGUUAAAGGCCAGUCUACAGUCCAUUCAGGAUGAACUGCGGAACAUAUCCGAAGGCGCUACAGAGGGAGGAAGUGUGACCACAGCCACUGAGAGCAGCACCGAUCAGCACUUACAGAAAGCCAGCUCUGCCCUGGGAGAUGAACCUCAGUACCCACUGCUGCUACCCAAGGGUGUGGUGCUCAAACUGAAGCCCGAUUCCAAGCCUUUCUCCAGAAAGGCUUGGCCACAGAAGUGGCCAUUGGUCCAGAAGCCCCUCCUUAUCCAACCCAGCCCCUCUGUUCAGCCUGUGUUCAACCCUGGGAAAAUGGCAACGUGGCCAACUCAGUCAGAAGUUCCUCCAAGCAACACAGUGGUCCAGAUUCCUCAUCUGAUCCAGCCAGCCGCUGUCUUACAGACACUUCCAGGGUUCCCUUCAGUGGGGGUUCGUGGAGAAGAUGGUUUUGAGUCUCCAACAUCACUGCCUGCUACGCCUUGUGGGUCUGAAGCCAGGACCAGCUUCCCCUUGUCUGAGACUCAGUCAGCACCUCCUUCUUGCUCUGCACCCAAGUUAAUGCUGCCCUCUCUGGCCCCUUCUGAAUUUCGAAAGCCAUAUGUGAGGUGGAAGCCCACAAGAAGAAAAGGAGCCAAGGCGUCCCCCUGUGUGAAGCCUGCUCCCGUCAUCCACCUGAAACCCGUCAUCUUCACAGUUCCUGCCACUACAGUAAAGGUUGUGAGCCUUGGUGGUGGCUGUAACAUGAUCCAGCCUGUUACUGCAGCUGUGGCACCAAGUCCCCAGACCAUUCCUAUCACCACUUUCCUUGUUAACCCCACUACUUUCCCCUGUUCAUUAAACCAGCCCCUUGUGGCCUCCUCCAUCUCCCCCCUAAUUGUUUCCAGCAAUCCUCUGACUCUUCCUGUGACAUCUAUUCCUGAAGAUAAGGCCCAAGUGAAGUUGGAUGUUGCUGAAGGGAAAAAUGCUCCUCAGAACCCUGAGUCCAAAUUAAAACCCCAGGAGCUAACUCCUCUCUGUACCACUGUCUUCUCCAAAGAGGAGCCCAAGUCCUGGCAUUCUUCAGCAGAUACGGGAAGCCAGGAAGCAUUCUCUGAAUCCAGUACCUGCAGCUGGGCUGUUGUCAAAACAGAAAGCCAGGAAGGCUCUUCUGAAAAGAGUGCCUGUGGCUGGACGGUUGUGAAAACAGAAGAUGGUGGGCAUGCUGUGGAGCCAUUGCCUCAGAAUCUCCAGGACUCUCUGAGCUCUCCAUCGAAGGAUUUAUUAAAUAUGGUCAAGAUGGAAGCUGAAGAUUGCAUGGUGGAAAUCUCCAGCAACCUUCCCAAGCAGGACAUUGGGGAGGAAGUGAAAGAGGAACGCUCUAUGGAAUUAGACAGUGAGUCCCCACAGGAGAAGCCGAGUAGUGCCAGUGAGAUGAGCAAACAGACAGUCCUGCAGAGGGAAGACACGCAGGCCGCCAAAUCCCCUUCUGUGCCCCAAGACGCUGCUGCUGAGGGACGAACAAGUAGUCAUGCAAGCAGAGGACUGCCAAAAAGCACUCUGUCCUCCAUGGGCCAGGGCGGGGGGCUGAGCGGUCCUCCAGGGAAGCUUGAGGACUCGGCCAAUGCUGACGGCCAGUCUGUGGGAACCCCAGCAGGACCAGACACUGGAGGGGAGAAGGACGGGCCUGAGGAAGAGGAGGAGGAGGACUUUGAUGACCUCACCCAAGAUGAAGAAGAUGAACUGUCAUCAGCUUCUGAGGAGUCUGUGCUCUCUGUCCCAGAGCUCCAGGAAACAAUGGAGAAACUGACUUGGCUGGCAUCUGAAAGGAGGAUGAGUCAGGAGGGUGAGUCUGAGGAAGAGAACUCCCAGGAGGAGAACUCUGAGCCAGAAGAAGAGGAGGAAGAAGAGGCAGAAGGAAUGGAAACCUUGCAAAAAGAGGAUGAAGUGAACGAUGAAGCCGUUGGAGAUGCUGCCAAGAAACCCCCUUCUACCUUGGCCUCACCUCAGACUGCUCCAGAAAUAGAGACCAGCAUAGCCCCCGCAGGGGAGAGCAUCAAAGCUGCUGGAAAGGGACGGAGCAGUCAUCGGGCUCGAAACAAACGGGGAAGUCGGGCUCGGGCCAGCAAGGACACCUCCAAGCUGCUGUUGCUGUAUGAUGAGGACAUUCUCGACCGGGACCCACUCAGGGAGCAGAAGGACCUGGCGUUCGCACAGGCUUAUCUCACCAGGGUACGCGAAGCUCUCCAGCACACCCCUGGCAAAUACGAAGAUUUCCUUCAGAUCAUCUAUGAAUUUGAGUCAAGCACCCAAAUGCACAGCGCUGUGGAUCUCUUCAAAAGCUUGCAAACCCUUCUCCAAGACUGGCCUCAGCUCUUGAAGGACUUUGCUGCUUUCCUGCUGCCUGAGCAAGCCCUGUCGUGUGGACUCGUAAGUCCACUUUGACGGGCAAAGACUUUACAGCUGACUCCGGGGCAGAGGCAGAGGGGCUCAAAUGCAGCCAAUCAAGACAGUUCCAGUUUUCCCGUUUGUUUACAGGGUUUUAUCUGUAGUACAAGUGGAGAUCUUGAUACGUCACACUCUGCCCUCCCUUCUGAAAAGUACAUUUAAAAAUUUUUUUAAAAUAUAUGGACUUUCUAGGUAGCCCCUGUUGGCCUGGAACUCAUUGUUUAGGUGAGGCUGCACAGAGAUCCUCCUGCCUCUGCCCCUCAAGUGCUGGGAUUGAAGGUGUGUGUCUGAUUAUAGGGGUCCCUCUAAUGGUGAGUGGUGUGUAGUGCUUAUAGCUCUAUUCUAGUGCUACCAAUAUAUUGCUGCAAAACAAAUCUUGGGUCUGGUUUUGUUUUUUUCUAAGCAUUAUUCAUACUGGGAUGCCCUAGAACUAUGUAUGUAGACCAGGCUGGCAUCAAAUUUCUAUGAAGUUACAGAUAUCUGUUUCUGCUUCCUGAGUGCCAGAAUGAAAGACAUGUGCUACCACACCCAGCCUGUUUUUCUCUCUCUUAAAGAUUUAUAUGAGCUGGAGAGAUGGCUCAGAGGUUGAAAUCACUCACUGCUCAUGGAAAGGUCCUGUGCUCAAAUCCCAGCAACGACGUUGUGGCUCACAACCAUCCUCAAUGAGAUCUGGUGCCCUCUUUUGAUUUGCAGUCAGAACACUGUGUAUAUAAUAAAUCUUUGACAAAAAAAUUAUACCUACUUUUUUUUUCUGGUUUUUUUGAGACAGGGUUUCUCUGUAUAGCCCUGGCUGUCCUGGAACUCACUUGUAGACCAGACUGGCCUCGAAUCAAGUUUUUUUUUUUUAAAGAUUUAUUCAUUAUUAUACAUAAGUACACUGUAGCUGACUUCAGACACAUAAAAAAAUAAAUAAAUCUUUUUUUUUUUUUUUUUUUGAGACAGAGUUUCUCUGUUUAGCCCUGGCUGUCCUGGAAUUCAUUCUGUAGACUAGGCUGGCCUUGGAACUCAGAAAUCCAUCUGUCUCUGCCUCCCAAGUGCUGGGAUUAAAGGCGUUCUCAACCACUGUGCUCCAAGAAGCCUGAGAUGUGAUGGUCUUUCCUGGUUUCUAUGGGCAUGUAACUAUUGGUGCACAGGCAUACUUGCAGGCAAAACACCCAUAAAAACAAAACUAGGUCUCACUCUGAAACUCUGACUGGCCUUAAACUUGGAAAGAUCUGCCUGCCGCUGCCUCCCCAGGGUGUCAUAACUCUGAAAUCCUUUCUAUCUCAAUAUUUCACCACUCGGUGAAAGCUGAGAACCAGUCGGAAAUAAACAGUCUUCAUUUUGAAGGAAUAUAGGUAAGGAGAAAGGCCAUUAUUAACACUUGAAAACAUGAUGUGCAGGCCCAUGUCUUAUCCAUACUCCUGUUUAUAUCACUCGGUAAGAUAACUGUUUUUAGGGAGAAGUUAGGAGGCAAGAAUCCCAUCCUGCUUGUUCGCAAACCUGAGUUUCUGACAUUUAACAAAAGCUAAAUAAGUCUGUGUGUAAACAACUGUGUGGCCAAUCAGAAUGGCUCCAAUAUGAAGACAAGGCUCUCCACUGCCCAGUCAGGAGCUUUCUUGCAGAUUGUUUGCUAUUGUUUAGUGAAGGUGAACAUUGACUGACUGACUGACUGACUGACUGAGAAGAGGGCAGAAGGGAACUACCAAGGGAAACAUUAGGUCUCAGUCUCCCAAGUGCUGGGAUUACAGAUGUGAGCCACCACACCUCGUAGAUAAGUGUGUGUGUGCAAUGUGUUCGACGGCACGUACACUCACUCGGGGGUGGCGAGGGGGGAGAGGAAGGCAGAGGAUAAGGUUCUGGAGUCCAUUCUCUCCUUCCCCCAGGCAUAGCUGGUGGAAGUCUCAUAGCUGGAACAUAGCUCAUCAAUCAGGCUUGGCAGCAAGCGCGCCCCCCACCCCCCCUUAGCUACCUUGCUGGCCCAAGACAGAUAUUUUUUUUUAGCGUAAUUUGAAAAUGAAGUCUAAAAGCCAAGACUGGGAGACAUCUGUUUGCACAGUUCUUUGGCUCUAUGGUGUUGUGUCACUGAGGGAACCUACUGCUACGUACAAUGUAUCGACUGUUACAGAGACAACAAGGAUAGGUAGAGAGAAGACAGGCAGUGUCAUGGUUCUGGAGGACCAAGGAGGCUUCCUUACUUGCUCACUGCCAUCCCACCUCUGCCCUACCUUCGCAUCCAUUUCAGUAUUGUUCCCUCUGUCCCCAAAAGCCAAGAACUUGAACUAGAAACAGCAGAUGGUGAAUUCAAGGCCUCUUCCUUGCUCUAAUGAAAAGUUUGGUUUGGUAGUAUUAGUGGUGGUGGUGGUGGUGGAGGCUGCGGUUGGAGAGAUGGCUCAGCAGCUAAGAGCACUGACUGCUCUUCUGAAGGUCCUGAGUUCAAAUCCCAGCAACCACAUGGUGGCUCACAACCACCUGUAAUGAGAUCUGAUACCCUCUUCUGGGGCAUCUGGAGACUGCUACAGUGUACUCAUUUAUAAUAAUAAAUAAAUCUUUGGGCUGGAGUGAGCAGGGACUGAGCAAGUGGGGUUGACUGGAGCGAGCAGAGGUCCUAAAUUCAAUUCCCAACAAUCAGAUGAAGGCUCACAACUAUCUGUACAGCUACAGUGUACUCAUAUACAUAAAAUAAAAAAAAAAUUUAAGAUGUGUUUUUGCUGUGUAGCCCUGGCUCUCUCAGAACUUAUUCUGCAGACCAGGCUGGCCUCAAACUUACAGAGAUCCUCCUGUCACUGCCUGUCUAGUACUGGGAUUCAGGGACUGCGCCAGCAUUGCCCAGCUCACUACUCAGUGAAUGCUUUAAAUAGCUGUGGGGCUUGCAAUGUAGUUCCACUGAUAGAAUGCUCGCCUUCACUGCUCGAGACCAGAGUUUGAUCUCCAUGUUUGCAAUUGCAGUGCUCAGACGUGGAGGUUGGAGGAUCAGGAAUUCAAGGCCAUCCUCAGCUACAGAGCAAGUUCUAGGCUAGCCUGAGCUACAUGAGAACCUAUCUCAAAACAAACAAACAAAUUAGGGCUAGGGAGAUGGCUCAGUGAAUAGAAGUAUUUCUCUCACAAGCACAGGAAUGUGAGUUUGAAUCCUGGGAACCCGUGUAAAAGCUGGGCGCACAGCCCAUGCAUCUGUAUGUCUAUACGUCCUAUGGGAAGACAGGAAUCUCCAGAAAUUCAAGGCCCAGCUAGCCUUCCAUAUGCAGAAGAAAAAUAACAAAUGAGUGUCAGGUGUGGUGGUAAACUCCCUUAAUCUUAGCAUUCAAAAGGCAGAGGAAGGAGGAUCUCUGUGAGUUUGAGACUAAUACCAUCUAUAGAGCAAGGUUAGGGACAACCAUAAUCAUAUAGAGAUACUGUCUCAAGUAAGACAAGACAAAAGCAAACAAAAAGCCAUGAAGAAAGAAAGAAAAUAAGCAGCCAGGUAUAGUGCUGCACACCUUUAAUCUCAGCAUUUAGGAGGCAGAGGCAGAUGGAGCCUGUGAGAUUGAGGCCAGUCAGGUCUACAGAUUCAGUUUCAGGCCACCUGGAGCUACAUAGUGAGAACUUGUCUCAAAAACCAAACCAAACUAAACCAAACCAAACCAAACCAAACCAACCCAAACCAAACCAACCCAACCCAAACCAAACCAAACCAAACCUAAGUAUAACAAAAAGACCCGUUUUGAAAGAAGGUAAACGAUAUGGACCGACAUCCUAGGUUGUCUUCUGUUGUGUGUCUGUGCACACAGAGUGAAUGUAUGAUUCAACC